CCUACGGGUGGCAGCAGUGAGGAAUAUUGGUCAAUGGACGAGAGUCUGAACCAGCCAAGUAGCGUGAAGGAUGACUGCCCUAUGGGUUGUAAACUUCUUUUAUAUGGGAAUAAAAUGUUCCACGUGUGGGAUUUUGUAUGUACCAUAUGAAUAAGGAUCGGCUAACUCCGUGCCAGCAGCCGCGGUAAUACGGAGGAUCCGAGCGUUAUCCGGAUUUAUUGGGUUUAAAGGGAGCGUAGGUGGAUUGUUAAGUCAGUUGUGAAAGUUUGCGGCUCAACCGUAAAAUUGCAGUUGAAACUGGCAGUCUUGAGUACAGUAGAGGUGUGCGGAAUGCGUGGUGUAGCGGUGAAAUGCUUAGAUAUCACGAAGAACUCCGAUUGCGAAGGCAGUUCACUGGACUGCAACUGACACUGAGGCUCGAAAGUGUGGGUAUCAAACAGGAUUAGAUACCCUUGUAGUC
RNAcentral lists this ribosomal RNA (460 nucleotides) under uncultured bacterium. RNAcentral's name for it is "partial 16S ribosomal RNA". It matches the Rfam family "Bacterial small subunit ribosomal RNA", at positions 338 to 795 of the family's 1533-position model. The record is from RNAcentral.